AGUGAACGCUGGCGGUAGGCCUAACACAUGCAAGUCGAACGGCAGCACAGUAAGAGCUUGCUCUUACGGGUGGCGAGUGGCGGACGGGUGAGGAAUACAUCGGAAUCUACUUUUUCGUGGGGGAUAACGUAGGGAAACUUACGCUAAUACCGCAUACGACCUACGGGUGAAAGCAGGGGAUCUUCGGACCUUGCGCGAUUGAAUGAGCCGAUGUCGGAUUAGCUAGUUGGCGGGGUAAAGGCCCACCAAGGCGACGAUCCGUAGCUGGCCUGAGAGGAGGAUCGGCCACACUGGAACGGGGACACGGUCCAGACUCCUACGGGAGGCAGCAGUGGGGAAUAUUGGACAAGGGGGGCAAGCCUGAUCCAGCCAGACCGCGUGGGUGAAGAAGGCCUUCGGGUUGUAAAGCCCUUUUGUUGGGAAAGAAAAGCAGCAGGUUAAUACCCCGCUGUUCUGACGGUACCCAAAGAAUAAGCACCGGCUAACUUCGUG
This 492-nucleotide ribosomal RNA is filed under the name uncultured bacterium. Its description in RNAcentral is "partial 16S ribosomal RNA". It matches the Rfam family "Bacterial small subunit ribosomal RNA", at positions 29 to 507 of the family's 1533-position model. The record is from RNAcentral.